CCUUGCCUUUCUUAUUAUCUCUCUAUCUCUACUACUUAGAACAUUGCCUUUCAUAUAGUAGGCCCUAAGUAUAUAAUUUGUAUGUGGUUGGAAGGAUAAAUAAGGAAAGUAUGUCUAAUGCAUGAUUUGUAGAAAUAUGAUAUGCUAAAUGUAUUGUGAAUCACCUAGAAGGAAUACGAGUAAUUUACCCAAAUAUAUUUCACCACAGAACUACUUUUUCUUCAAGCAUUUAGCUGUAUUAGACUUCCACAGGAGACAUUUUGGAAAUGUAGUAGGGUCUAUUGAUACAUUUAAGUUUUUCUUUUUAUUUUGUAAUAAUUUCAAAAUGUGUACCCAAGUUAUAAGAAUAGUUUUUCUAAGAUAAUUUUUCCUGAAUCAUUUGAGAGUAAGUUGCUGACAUUAUAUUCCAUCACCUCUGAAUACUUUAGAGUGUAUUUCCUACAAACAAAGACAUUCUUCCACAUAGCUAGGAUAGAAUAAUCACAAUCAGGAAUUCAACGUUGGUAGGUUACUACCAUCUAACCCACAACCCUGUUCAAGUCAUGACAGUUGUUCUGGAAUUCAUUGGUGAAAAUCCCCAGAAAGGAGAGAGGCACAGAGUAGGGAGCCUCAAAAUCUGCGUAGGUAUUCCUUUCAAUUCUUUGGCUGACCCCUGAGUUCACAUGUGUUGAGGAGACUUCACAGAGCCUAGUGGAAAGUAACAGGUGACAUGCGAAGUUGUUGAGGUAAUAUUGUUGAUCAAAUUUGAAGGUUGAGUCCUACCAAACACGUUAGGAUUCUGUUGAAAUCUCAGAAGAGAUCUGUCUGAGAAGUAGACUAUUCAAGGCCUAAGGGAUUUGUUCUAGGACUGAGGGCAAAACUGAAACAUAUCCUUCCUAACAAACUGUAAAACCAAGCAUCUGGAGGUUCAAGAUGAUCAGCCAGUAUUUAACUGCCUAGUAGAAGAAAAAUCAACGCACUUCAAAGGAAGAUAACAACAGACAGAGUUUCUAUAGCAUAUCAUCCAUUUUGUCCAGUGUAUAAUAAAAAAAUAUUGAUCAUGUGAAGAAAUAGGAAAAUAUUACCCUUAGUUAAGAGAAAAAGGAACCAAUCCAGAUGUUAGAGUCAGGAGACAAUAACUUUAAAUUAGCUAUAAUAAAUAUGGGCAAAAAAGUGAAGAAAGAGGGGACAUAAUAAAUAUAGACCAUCUUUGCAAAGAGAUGUAGAAACUAUUUUUCUUUUUUUUGAGGAAGAUUGGCCCUGAGCUAACAUCUAUGCCCAUCUUCCUCUACUUUAUAUGUGGGAUGCCUGCCACAUAAUGGCUUGAUAAGCAGUGCAUAUGUCCACACCCGGCAUCCAAACUGGCAAACCCCAGGCCACCGAAGCAGAGCCCAGAAACUUAACUGCCACUUCACCAGGCCAGCCCCAGUAGGAACUAUUUUCUUUUUUAAAUAGGAAUUGUAAAACUGGAAAUAUAAUACCUGAAGUGAAAAAUUUACUGGAUCGACCUAACAAGAGAUGACAGAUGGCAGAAGAAAGGGCCAGUAAACUUGAUGACAGAUCAACAGAAAUUAUCCUACUUGAAGAACAAAGAGGAAAAAGAUUUUAAAAAAGAAUAACGGAACCUCAGUGACCAGUGAAGUUACAAGCAGUCAAACUUAUGUAUAUUGAAAUCCCAGAAGGAAAAGAGAGAAAAUGGGACAGAAAAAAUCUUUUUAAGAAAUAAUGGCUAAAAACUUAUCAAAUUUAGCAAAAAACUAACUUAGAGAGCC
RNAcentral lists this long non-coding RNA (1751 nucleotides) under Equus asinus (donkey). Its description in RNAcentral is "lncRNA (ENSEASG00005037751.1)". The record is from RNAcentral. Lineage: Eukaryota; Metazoa; Chordata; Mammalia; Perissodactyla; Equidae.